This 236-nucleotide long non-coding RNA is filed under the name Brassica napus (rape). Its description in RNAcentral is "long non-coding RNA (BNAP_LNC002216)". The record is from RNAcentral. Lineage: Eukaryota; Viridiplantae; Streptophyta; Magnoliopsida; Brassicales; Brassicaceae.
UUAAGGCAUAUAGAUGAGACAUGACUGAUUUGAAGAGUAGGAAAACGGCAAGGAGGUGUGGACAAACAUCCCAACAAAUCUGUAAGAAAGAUUCCAUGUAUUAACACAUUUAUAUCAAAAGUUUUUAUCAAUAAUUAUUUAUUCAUAUCAAUUUACGCAAAGGUUACAUUAUUCUAUUAAAAUAUUAAAACAUGAAUAUGAUCUAUUGAUAUUGGUGUGAUUUAACUAUUUUAAUA